AGAGCAGGGCUGGCGGGAGGCAGGCGAAAGACAGAAUUUUCCUGAAAAAACGGGGCUAUCUGAGGACCCCAAAUUUGGAGAGGUAGUUCAGGACCGUCCUGCCAACAACCUAGAUUUUUUGGGGAUUUUUUGGGGGCCCCAGGACCCCUCUAGAUGGGGUGAGGAAUGUAGUGUUGGGGGAAUCUGACUGGGGCAUUGCAGCUGCCUCUCCCGCCGAGUUGGACACGGAUGGGCUGGGACGGGUUUGGGGGGUGUCCCCAAUUCUGACUGGGAGUGGAGGAACCCCCUCCUCAGCUCUCUUGUGGGGGGUCCCCCCUCCCUAGGGCACUCCCCACUCCUUGAGCCAGCCGAGAGGAAGGAGGCCAACGAUGCGACCGGGCGGCUCCUUUCUCCUGCACCCCAAAUGUGAGGGAUGCACCCCAAAUUUUGCUCCCUUCAAAAUAGGGGACCAGGAUCUCAGGGGAGAGUAGCUGAGGGGAUGGAUGCUACCAAAACUAAAAACUAGCGGCAAAGUAGGAAAGAUGCUGAGCUAGGCUCCCGAGGAAGAUGGAACAAUGGGCAUGGAGGAAGCAAGCUGCCCACCCCCCUCGUUGUCUACCGGCCACCCCUCCCUCACACUGUCCGUUCCUUGAUGACACAGCUGAUGUGAUUAAGAUCGUCCCCAAACCGCUUCACAGCAGCCCUCAGCAUCUCUAUCUCCGUCUCCGUCCACUUGGCACUGUCAGGGGGGAGAGGGGAACAGCGAAAGUGGGAGGAGGAGGGGUGUGGAGACAGCUCCCAGGCUAUGCAUUCCACAGCAGCCAGCCUCCCCCCACCAUCCCUAGAGCCCCUCCCAUAGGUCCAUAGAGAGGUCCUCCUUAAAAAAAAGAAAAAAAGGAAGAA
This is a long non-coding RNA of Pipistrellus kuhlii (Kuhl's pipistrelle), 882 nucleotides long. RefSeq lists it as uncharacterized. Lineage: Eukaryota; Metazoa; Chordata; Mammalia; Chiroptera; Vespertilionidae. The record is from RefSeq and is a predicted model, not a curated record. The transcript is spliced from 2 exons.